RNAcentral lists this transfer RNA (71 nucleotides) under bacterium. Its description in RNAcentral is "tRNA-Gln". It matches the Rfam family "tRNA". Rfam says of the family: Transfer RNA (tRNA) molecules are approximately 80 nucleotides in length. Their secondary structure includes four short double-helical elements and three loops (D, anti-codon, and T loops). The record is from RNAcentral.
UGCCAGGUCGUCUAAUGGUAGGACAAUGGACUCUGAAUCCAUGAAUCUUGGUUCGAUUCCAGGCCUGGCAG